GAUGAACGCUGGCGGCGUGCCUAAUACAUGCAAGUCGAGCGAACAGACGAGGAGCUUGCUCCUCUGACGUUAGCGGCGGACGGGUGAGUAACACGUGGAUAACCUACCUAUAAGACUGGGAUAACUUCGGGAAACCGGAGCUAAUACCGGAUAAUAUAUUGAACCGCAUGGUUCAAUAGUGAAAGACGGUUUUGCUGUCACUUAUAGAUGGAUCCGCGCCGCAUUAGCUAGUUGGUAAGGUAACGGCUUACCAAGGCAACGAUGCGUAGCCGACCUGAGAGGGUGGUCGGCCACACUGGAACUGGGACACGGUCCAGACUCCUACGGGAGGCAGCAGUAGGGAAUCUUCCGCAAUAGGCGAAAGCCUGACGGAGCGACGCCACGUGAGUGAUGAAGGUCUUCGGAUCGUAAAACUCUGUUAUUAGGGAAGAACAAAUGUGUAAGUAACUAUACACGUCUUGACGGUACCUAAUCAGAAAGCCACGGCUAACUACGUG
Molecule: ribosomal RNA, 497 nt
Filed under: uncultured bacterium
Lineage: Bacteria
Description: partial 16S ribosomal RNA
Rfam family: Bacterial small subunit ribosomal RNA
Source: RNAcentral